UAUCUCUGUAGAGUCUGCAUAUCAAUAAGCGGAGGAAAAGAAACUAACAAGGAUUCCCUUAGUAACGGCGAGUGAAGCGGGAAGAGCUCAAAUUUGAAAUCUUCAAGGUUCUACCUUGACGAAUUGUAGUUUAAAGAAGUGUUUUCUGUUAGAUGAGUAGCAAAAGUUCCUUGGAAUGGGACAUCAUAGAGGGUGAGAAUCCCGUAUUUGGUUAUUCAUUCUAGCUUUGUGAUACACUUUCAAAGAGUCGGAUUGUUUGGGAAUGCAGUCCAAAAUGGGUGGUAAAUUUCAUCUAAAGCUAAAUAUUGGCGAGAGACCGAUAGCGAACAAGUACCGUGAGGGAAAGAUGAAAAGAACUUUGAAAAGAGAGUUAAACAGUACGUGAAAUUGUCAAAAGGGAAGCGUUUGACACCAGUGUUGUUUUUUCCGAAAAUCAAUUACGAAUGGCUUGAUUCUGUGUUGUAUUGACCUUAUCAGCUUUCUUCACUUUUUUCGAGUCUUUCUUAAUGCACUUUUCGGUUAACAAGUCAACAUCAAUUUCUUUUGUUGUAAAAGAGUAUUCGGAAGGUGGCUUUCUUUUCGGAGAAAGUGUUUAUAGCCCUAUACUUCUACAAUCGGAGAGAUUGAGGUCUGCAGCGUAGAUCCUUCGGGGUUAGAUACACUUGUGCUAAGUUGUAGCUUUUCAUAGACAACUUGUUGACUAUGUUUAGUCAUGCGGCUUACUCGCUUGUGCUAUUUUACCUACGCUUAGGAUGUUGAAGAUGUAGCACAUCAU
This 775-nucleotide ribosomal RNA is filed under the name uncultured Neocallimastigales. Its description in RNAcentral is "partial large subunit ribosomal RNA". It matches the Rfam family "Eukaryotic large subunit ribosomal RNA", at positions 24 to 643 of the family's 3401-position model. The record is from RNAcentral. Lineage: Eukaryota; Fungi; Neocallimastigomycota; Neocallimastigomycetes; Neocallimastigales.